UCCACGCCGUAAACGAUGUCGACUUGGAGGUUGUUCCCUUGAGGAGUGGCUUCCGGAGCUAACGCGUUAAGUCGACCGCCUGGGGAGUACGGCCGCAAGGUUAAAACUCAAAUGAAUUGACGGGGGCCCGCACAAGCGGUGGAGCAUGUGGUUUAAUUCGAUGCAACGCGAAGAACCUUACCUACUCUUGACAUCCACGGAAUUUGGCAGAGAUGCCUUAGUGCCUUCGGGAACCGUGAGACAGGUGCUGCAUGGCUGUCGUCAGCUCGUGUUGUGAAAUGUUGGGUUAAGUCCCGCAACGAGCGCAACCCUUAUCCUUUGUUGCCAGCGAUUCGGUCGGGAACUCAAAGGAGACUGCCGGUGAUAAACCGG
RNAcentral lists this ribosomal RNA (372 nucleotides) under uncultured bacterium. RNAcentral describes it as "bacterial SSU rRNA". It matches the Rfam family "Bacterial small subunit ribosomal RNA", at positions 794 to 1166 of the family's 1533-position model. The record is from RNAcentral.